UGUGUAGGCGGCUUGUUAAGUAGGGUGUGAAAGCCCCUGGCUCAACCAGGGAACUGCACUCUAUACUGGCGAGCUAGAGUGAGAUAGGGGUGUGUGGAACUGCCAGUGGAGCGGUGAAAUGUGUUGAUAUUGGCAGGAACGCCGGUGGCGAAAGCGACACACUGGGUCUCAACUGACGCUGAGACACGAAGCCAGGGAGCAAACGG
Molecule: ribosomal RNA, 206 nt
Filed under: uncultured bacterium
Lineage: Bacteria
Description: partial 16S ribosomal RNA
Rfam family: Bacterial small subunit ribosomal RNA
Source: RNAcentral